ACCCGUGCCGCCUCAGGUCAGAGCCGGGCUCCUGGGCACGCUACAAGGCAGCGAGGCACCAGCCGCAGCCUGAGGGCUUCUGGGACUGCCCAGGCGUCACCAUGGUCCUUCCCUGGGGUGGGGGACCGGGAGCUCGCAGAACUACACACCCUCGGCGGCCCUCGGAGUCCUAGACCGUGGCAGGUGCCACCCUCGGGGACAGCCUUGGCAGCUCCCCUGGCUGGGAGCAAUCAGGGGGUGAGGGGGCCAGGCUGGUCUCACAGGGGGUGAGAGAGAGCAGGUGAGUCUGGGGCAGGAGACCCAGGCUCUCCCAGUCACCCCUGCCCCACCCCCGAGCUCCUUCCUGGUCUGCCCAGUGCAGGAGUGACCACACUGGGUUCAGAGCCCCAGGUGGGUGGGCGAGAGGGCUUCGGGACUCUGGAAAAAUUGUGGUUUGUGUCUGGGGGAGGACAAAGGGGCCCCCAUUCCCAGGAGACCAUUGGGGGCUGUGGGCCAGGGUGGGAGGGAGAGCUGGGCCCCGCUAAUCUCAGAGCGUCUGGGAGGGGCGGGGGCCGUGAUAGGAGCCCCUUUGCAGAAUGUGUCCCUGCCUGCCUGUGUCAGAGGGAAGCCAGAAAGAACAGGUAAUGCCAGAAAAAAAAGGACCCCCCAACCCUCCCCCAAUCCCAGCAACCCCCUUCCUCCCAGUGCCCAGCUGGGGAGCGUCUGGCCCUCUGCUGCCUCCCGAUGUCCUGUGCGAGAAGAGUGAGAUUCAGUCCAAAGAAGUGUUUGUGGGAUGCCGGCUCUGCAGGGGCUCGCCCCACAGGAGGCCAGGUCCACGUCCAGCCCGGUGGUGGGGCCGGCGGCGGUGGGGGCGGGGGCGGAAGCCGGCGGCCCCUCCAAGGGCUCGCUGGGGAGUGCGGGGCUCCGGGGUGGCUCGGGUUUUCCGCGCCUAGGAAAGGAUGCGUGUUUUUGUUUUUCCCCCUGGAGGAGAAGGUAAGGGGAGAACGUGUCAUACGCGGCCAGCAACACACAAGUUCCGGGAAGAGC
RNAcentral lists this long non-coding RNA (1026 nucleotides) under Oryctolagus cuniculus (rabbit). RNAcentral describes it as "lncRNA (ENSOCUG00000034709.1)". Lineage: Eukaryota; Metazoa; Chordata; Mammalia; Lagomorpha; Leporidae. The record is from RNAcentral.